CGACCACAGGCGAUGAAAGACGCGGCAGCCUGCGAAAAGCUCCGGGGAGUGGGCAACACACCUUGAUCCGGAGAUCUCUGAAGUCGGGGAAACCCACCCGCAAGGGUAUCUUGAACUGAAUCCAUAGGCUCAAGAGGCGAACCCGGGGGAACUGAAACAUCUCAGUACCCGGAGGAACAGAAAUCAACCGAGAUUCCCGUCAGUAGCGGCGAGCGAACGCGGAACAGCCACCGGCAGCUAACCAGAAGGUCAGGAGAACGACUUGGAAAAGUCGGCCACAGCGGGUGACAGCCCCGUAUCCGAAAAACCUUUUGGCGAGACUAAGGCCGGAACCAGUAGGGCGGGGCACGUGAAACCCUGUCUGAACAUGGGGGGGACCAUCCUCCAAGGCUAAAUACUCGUGGUCGACCGAUAGUGAACCAGUACCGUGAGGGAAAGGCGAAAAGAACCCCGGCGAGGGGAGUGAAAUAGACCCUGAAACCGUAUGCGUACAAGCAGUCGGAGCCUCUUCGUGAGGUGACGGCGUACCUUUUGUAUAAUGGGUCAGCGACUUACUUUCAGUGGCC
This 566-nucleotide ribosomal RNA is filed under the name uncultured bacterium. Its description in RNAcentral is "bacterial LSU rRNA". It matches the Rfam family "Bacterial large subunit ribosomal RNA", at positions 37 to 642 of the family's 2925-position model. The record is from RNAcentral.